This is a non-coding RNA of Ictidomys tridecemlineatus (thirteen-lined ground squirrel), 71 nucleotides long. The record is from Rfam. Lineage: Eukaryota; Metazoa; Chordata; Mammalia; Rodentia; Sciuridae.
GGAGGUGUAGCUCAGUGGUAGAGCACUUACCUAGCAUGUACAAGGUCUGGGUUCCAUCCCCAGCAUUGCCA